UUUCGCCUUUGGAUAACACCCAGCGUCUCUUCUGCUAACAUUUCUUUUUCAGCAAUAGUGAAGUGUUAUUUUGUGUCGCCAGCAUGCUUAAAAUACUCGAUAAACUCUAUAAAAAAUGUUGAAGUAUAAAAAUAAAAACUAAACAAUGCUGAAUGGGAUAUUUCCGUCUGGUUGCUGACUAGGGUGUGGCACUCGCCACAUAAGCAACUGUAACUGCCGAAUCCCGUCAGACUGUGUGGUUUCUUUGCUAAAAAGCAAUAUUGCGUACAAAAUAACUUGAACGGAAUACCCACUAUGUGUUGUAUCGAAAAGAAAUUGUGAGUGUACAUACGUAGAAAAUUACACAAGAUGGAUUAUUUUGCAUUAAAAAAUGGAUAUGAACGUUCGAACUUUUAUGUGCAAUGUGUCAGGAAUACGAGGAAUAACUAAUAUAAAAAAAAACAGCAAAUAACGAGUGACUAUUGAACAAAAGCAUGGUAAUAUCAAAUAACCUUUCGGACUGCUAGAUAUUGAGAUAAAAUGUAAUUUUAAAGUAGUUACCUGAAAGGGUAUGUCUCGGAUCGAAUUUAAAGAGGAAGUAGACAACAAAAACACUGAGGAAGCUGUUCCUUGGAACAAUCUACGACGAAGAACCUUAACGAAAGUUUUUUUCAAUGUCACCUUACGCAUACAGGAAGAUGUUUGAUGCAGAUUAAUGUAAUUUAGACUAGUCACUUAAUUAAAUAAAUGUAAACGUUCAUAUAAUUGCUUUUUACAAGUAUGUCAAUGAUUGGCGGAGGAGGUACUACCCAUAAAUUCUGACCCAGUGGUGUCAGUCUUGGGAUCUUUAAAAUUCAAUAAAAUAAAUAAAAAAAUACUUCCACUCCAAAAAAGAACCAUUUGGGAGGUAUUCUCCUUAUUUUACAGUUAGCUUAAAAUAUUUUCAACUAAUAAUAUUGUGGAAAACAACUACUCUGCGUACUAAAACUCCGUCCAACCUUGAAUUACACCCUCAAUAUCAGUAGAAAUGAGAAUGAAGAUAUAACAAAUUUUGUAGAUUAUAACACUAACGCUCAAAUUUUACAAAUAAUUCAGUAAAUUGAAAAUAAUUCUAAAACUGCUUCGUUCACAAAAGUCUAGUUUUUUUUAUUACAAAUUCUCUUUUAGAGUUCAAAAAAUCUAUUGGUGUGAAAUUUUUUUAUAUUUUUAGAAACUGUCUCUCUUUUUUCCAGAACAGCAAACGUUUCAUAUUUUCAAGCAAAGGGCGUGUGAUUUUUUUAUAAUUUUUUUUUGUCAAUUGAAUCGAUAAAAUAAGUAUAUAAUAUUAAGUAUCCUAUUUUUCUUACAUUUUAUAUGACUAUACAGUAAAUUUACAUACUACUAAAUAUGUACUUUUAUGUAUCAAUAAAAAUAUGUAAAAUCCAA
Anoplophora glabripennis (Asian longhorned beetle) is the source of this 1404-nucleotide long non-coding RNA. RefSeq lists it as uncharacterized. Lineage: Eukaryota; Metazoa; Arthropoda; Insecta; Coleoptera; Cerambycidae. The transcript is spliced from 3 exons. The record is from RefSeq and is a predicted model, not a curated record.